This is a non-coding RNA of Sturnus vulgaris (Common starling), 372 nucleotides long. NCBI's taxonomy places the organism in Eukaryota, Metazoa, Chordata, Aves, Passeriformes, Sturnidae. The record is from RefSeq and is a predicted model, not a curated record.
CGGGGCAACCGGCAUCGGGUACGGCUUUGGGAACAGCACUGAGGGCUCGCACGGAGGAGAUCCGUGACCAGGCUUUGGGGUUCUGAGAGCCCCACGGAAGUGACCGUGGCCUCACUUAACCUCACUUCGUGCUGCAGACGCUGCUCAUUUCAGCCACAGCACUGUACUUGACCUAUAUUAUCAACAGCAACAAAACAUCUCAGGGUGUGGCCGAAGAAGGAAGAAGGAACCCAAAGAAGGUUUUCAGGAACUCUCUGAACGGGAGCCACAGAAAGCGGCAGGAGGAGAACACGGAGUGGGGCUGUAUCUCCCUCCCACAGGCAGCUCUGUGGCCUCUCACCUCCACGGCCCAUUGAUGCAGCCACAAAAAGC